GACAGAGGUCCCGAGCGUUGUUCGGAUUCAUUGGGCGUAAAGGGUGUGUAGGAGGUUGGGUAAGUCAGGUGUGAAAUCUCGGAGCUUAACUCUGAAACUGCGCUUGAUACUGCUCAGCUAGAGGAUCGGAGGGGGUAACGGAAUUCAUGGUGUAGCAGUGAAAUGCGUAGAUAUCAUGAGGAACACCGGUGGCGAAGGCGGUUACCUGGAAGAUUCCUGACUCUGAAACACGAAAGCCAGGGGAG
RNAcentral lists this ribosomal RNA (245 nucleotides) under uncultured bacterium. RNAcentral's name for it is "partial 16S ribosomal RNA". It matches the Rfam family "Bacterial small subunit ribosomal RNA", at positions 524 to 768 of the family's 1533-position model. The record is from RNAcentral.